UAGGGAAUCUUCGGCAAUGGACGAAAGUCUUACCGAGCAACGCCGCGUGAGUGAAGAAGGUUUUCGGAUCGUAAAACUCUGUUGUUAGAGAAGAACAAGGACGUUAGUAACUGAACGUCCCCUGACGGUAUCUAACCAGAAAGCCACGGCUAACUACGUGCCAGCAGCCGCGGUAAUACGUAGGUGGCAAGCGUUGUCCGGAUUUAUUGGGCGUAAAGCGAGCGCAGGCGGUUUCUUAAGUCUGAUGUGAAAGCCCCCGGCUCAACCGGGGAGGGUCAUUGGAAACUGGGAGACUUGAGUGCAGAAGAGGAGAGUGGAAUUCCAUGUGUAGCGGUGAAAUGCGUAGAUAUAUGGAGGAACACCAGUGGCGAAGGCGGCUCUCUGGUCUGUAACUGACGCUGAGGAUCGAAAGCGUGGGGAGCAAACAGG
RNAcentral lists this ribosomal RNA (429 nucleotides) under Chloroflexota bacterium. Its description in RNAcentral is "Chloroflexi bacterium partial 16S ribosomal RNA". It matches the Rfam family "Bacterial small subunit ribosomal RNA", at positions 355 to 776 of the family's 1533-position model. The record is from RNAcentral. Lineage: Bacteria; Bacillati; Chloroflexota.